UUUUUUUUUUUUUUUUUUUUUUUUUGUCUUUUAGGGCCACACACGCAGCAUAUGGAGGUUCCCAGGCUAGGGGUUGAAUCUGAGCUGUAGCCGCCGGCCUACACCACAGCCACAGCAACGCCAGAUCCGAGCUGCGUCUGCAACCUACACCAUAGCUCACAGCAACACUGGAUCCUUAACCCACUGAGCAAGGCCAGGGAUCGAACUCGCAACCUCAUGGUUCCUAGUAGGAUUCGUUAGCCACUGAGCCACGACAGGAACUCCCUUACAUUUUAAAUUUAAUGGCAUAUUUUAAUUCCUAAGAAUUUUCUUAAUAUUUGAUUGUGUCUUUUCCAUAGUAGCACUUGGAAUUCGCAAGGUUCACUUAUUUCCUGAAUAAUCUGUUUCCUACAAGUUCCAUUGCCUCUUUUUGUGUUUGUCAUUUGUGGUUUUCACAUGUCUUGUGAGAAACUGUCCCUUCAUAUGUAAGAAAGAGAAACAGAGUGUGUGGCAUGUAGCUGUUACUCUUUGGCAAGUUUUCUCUGCUUUUGUAUGAUAAGGUGAUCUGCGUGUGAGUUCCUGUCCUGAGUGGAAAUUCUGAGAGGGUGCUCCAGGUGAGGCAGUGCAGAACCAGCUUUAUAAAAUAUCAGACUUGAUGAAUGAGCAAAGAACUCUUUUCAGGAUGUGUACCUGCAAGUGUCAGAGACACAGGUUUUAGGCUGGGAUUCCCAAAUCGCCGCUAAAUAUCCUAGUGUUCUCCAAAAAAAAAAAAAGAUCCUUUUACUUCUUUAGAAAGGGAUUCAUGUUUUUGAAGGAAAGUCUAGAGAGGAAGUAAUAAUUAUUAAACUUAUAUGUUACAUAUAAUGUAUUAUCACUGCACACUUUCUAUGCACGUUACUGUUUUCUAAAUUCUUUACACAUAUCUCAUUUAAUCCUCAAAAUAGUGGCCCAACUGGUGUGCCAGUUUUAUUUUAUUCUAUUUUUUGUUUUUGUUCUUUGUUUUAGAUUUCGUUUUGGUUUGCCGGUUCUAGAGAUGAAUAAGCUAGGAGUUCUCUAGUGGCUCAGCAGGUUAAGGAUCCUGUGUCGUUGUCCCUGUGGCGUGGGUUGCUGCUGUGGAAAGGGUCUGAUCCCUGGAGCGGGAAUUUCUGCAUGCUGUGGGCACAGCCACAAAAAACAGAGAUGAACAAAUUGGACGUACGGAGUUAAAGUAACUUGCCCAAGGCCACCUAGCUAGAAAGGGGUGAAAUCAGAAUUUGAGUCCAGGCAGCCUGACCCCAAAGAAGAGCUUUUUUGUUUUCACUUUUUUCUAUUUUGAAAUCUAUUAAACAUUCCAAAAAGUGUAUACAAUGUAUAUGUGCAAUUUAAUAUACAAAUAAUAAAAUGUGUGUCACCAGCUUAAGAACGAGGACAACGCCAAGACCUUGGAAGUCCCUGUGCGCCUACACCGUUAACAUCUUCCAUCGUCAUUAAAAUCAACCACUACCCUGAAUUUGUUCUUAUUUGUUAUUCUUUGCAGUUCUAUCAGAUGUGCACAUAUGCCUAAAUAAUAUAUUGUUUGAUUUUGUCUGUCUUUGAAAUUUAUAUAAACGUCUUCAUGUGAUCAUCUGUGGACUUGCUUUUUGCAGUCAUUAUGGUAUUGAAGUCAUCUGUGUCAAUGCAGUCCAUUUAUUUACACCACUCUGCGGUAUUCUAUCACAUAAGACAUCUUUGCCUUUAAAUUAUUAUUAUUGUUAUUGUUAUUUUGCUUUUUGAGGCUGCACCCGCAGCAUGUGGAGGUUCUCAGGCUCUGGGUCAAAUCAGAGCUGCAUCUUCGACCUACACCACAGCUCACAGCAACGCCGGAUCCUUAACCUACUGAUCGAGGCCAAGGAUCAAACAUGCAUCCUCACGGACACUAGUCAGGUUCAUCAACCACUGAGCCAUGAAGGGAACUCUUGCCUUUAAAUUAACUUUGCUGCUGAUUUAUUUUUGGGUUGCUCCAAGAGUUUUGUUACCACAACAAUACUGCCACAAGCAUGCUUGAAUAUAUCUUCUCAUGCACUUGGGCAAGAGAUCCUUUUGGGAACUGGCACAUCUAGGAUGGUAUUACCUGGGUCAUACCAAGAAGUUGAAAGAUCGCAGAGUGAAUAAAACAGACAAUGAAAAGAUGCUAACACUAAGAUGAAAGCAAUGUUGGAAAUAUCUGACAAAGAUUUUUAAGUGGACUUCAAAAAAUGCUUCAAUGAGAAAUUAUAAACAUGCUUGAAGCAAAAGAAAAAAUAUUCUCAGAAUAUAUAUAUAUAAAGUUGAAGCGAAGAAAUAACAGAUACAAAGAAAAGCAAUGGAAAUUUUAGAAAUUGAAAAUACAGUUAUUGAAAUGAAAAACUCAGUGAAUGAGCUUAACAACAGAAGACAGAGAGUCAAUGAACAGAAGAUAGAACAACAGCAAUCACCUAAUCUCAACAAAGGAGAGGAAACACUGUAAAAAGUUACCAGAGCUUCAGGGAUGUGUCUGACAAUAACCACAGAUCUGACAUUUGUGUCAGUGGAAUCCCAGAAGGAAAGAAGACUUUCCAAAUUUGGCAAAAGAUGCAGACCAGAGACUCAAGAAGCCAAACAAAUUCAAAAAAAGAUAAACAAAAAAAAAUUCACACCAAAAGACAUAGUCAAAUUUCUGAAAACUGAAGAGAAGGAAAAAAUUUUAAAAGCAGUGAAACAGAAAUGACACAUUACCUAUAGGACAAUAACAAUCUGGAGGGGUUUGCGCUUUUUUUUUGUUUUUGUUUUUGCAUUUUAGGGCUGCACCUGCAGCAUAUGGAAGUUCCCAGGCUAGGGGUCCAAUCAGAGCUAUAGGGGCUGGCCUACACCACAGCCACAGCAAUGCUAGACCUGAGCUGUGUCUGUGACCUACACCACAGCUCACCAAAAUACCGGAUUCUCAACCCAGUGACUGAGGCCAGGGAUCAAACAUGCGUCCUCAUGGAUACUAGUCAGGUUCAUUAACUGCUGAACCACGACCGGAAUUCCCAAUAACAAUCUGAAUAGAGUAGAUUUCUUAUCAGAAACCAUGGAAGUCAGGAGAAAAUGGCACAAUAUUUUUCAAGGGGUGAAAGAAAGGAACCAUUAACCCAGAAUUCUAUAUCCAGUGAAAAUAUCCUUCUGGAAGAAAGUUUGUUGCCAGUAGGCCUACCAUUAAAAAGAGAGAGAGAGAGAGAGAAAGAAAGAAAAAUGGCUAAAAGGAAUUCUCAGAACAGAAAGGAAUC
This 3221-nucleotide long non-coding RNA is filed under the name Sus scrofa (pig). RNAcentral's name for it is "lncRNA (ENSSSCG00000059996.1)". The record is from RNAcentral. Lineage: Eukaryota; Metazoa; Chordata; Mammalia; Artiodactyla; Suidae.